GCGGUCCCCGAUGCCGAGGCGGUGCCCGAGGCGGUUCCCGAUGCAAUGUCCGAUGCCGUUCCUGAGGCCAUUCCCGAGGCGGUGCCCGAUGCCGAGGUCGUUCCCGAGGCGGUGCCCGAGGCCGUUCCCGAGGCGGAGCCCGAGGUCGUGCCCGAGGCCGUUCCCGAGGCGGUGUCCUUGUCCAAUGCCGUUCCUGAGGCCGUUCCUGAGGCCGUUCCUGAGACCGUUCCCGAGGCGGUGCCCGAUGCCGAGGCCGUUCCCGAGGCGGUGCCCUUGUCUGAGGCCGUUCCCGAUGCCGUUCCCAAUGCCGUGACCUGGCCAUCGCCACAGCCUGCUCCUUACUGGCUCCCCGAUUGGCAGGUUCCGUUCGGGCCACUCAAAUGGCGAAUUCCUCCCUGGCCGUCUGCACAACGAGAAUGGACUGAUCCACCGUGGCCACCUGAACUGCCUGGCCCCUCGUGGUCCCCCUGAACUUUCGGGUCCACCGUGGCCACCUGAACUGCCUGGUCCCUCGUGGUCCCCUGAACUUUCGGGUCCACCAUGGCCCCCUGAUCUGACCGAGCCACCUGGGCUACCAGGGGAGCCA
Molecule: long non-coding RNA, 586 nt
Organism: Cyprinus carpio carpio
Lineage: Eukaryota; Metazoa; Chordata; Actinopteri; Cypriniformes; Cyprinidae
Source: Ensembl